Molecule: microRNA precursor, 84 nt
Organism: Cricetulus griseus (Chinese hamster)
Lineage: Eukaryota; Metazoa; Chordata; Mammalia; Rodentia; Cricetidae
Gene: Mir491
Product: microRNA 491
Source: Ensembl
AAUUGACUUAGUUUGGAAGCGGGAACCCUUCCAUGAGGAGUAGAACAUUCCUUAUGCAAGAUUCCCUUCUACCUGGCUGGGUUG